Molecule: ribosomal RNA, 497 nt
Filed under: uncultured bacterium
Lineage: Bacteria
Description: partial 16S ribosomal RNA
Rfam family: Bacterial small subunit ribosomal RNA
Source: RNAcentral
GAUGAACGCUGGCGGCGUGCCUAAUACAUGCAAGUCGAGCGAACGGACGAGAAGCUUGCUUCUCUGAUGUUAGCGGCGGACGGGUGAGUAACACGUGGAUAACCUACCUAUAAGACUGGGAUAACUUCGGGAAACCGGAGCUAAUACCGGAUAAUAUUUUGAACCGCAUGGUUCAAAAGUGAAAGACGGUCUUGCUGUCACUUAUAGAUGGAUCCGCGCUGCAUUAGCUAGUUGGUAAGGUAACGGCUUACCAAGGCAACGAUGCAUAGCCGACCUGAGAGGGUGAUCGGCCACACUGGAACUGAGACACGGUCCAGACUCCUACGGGAGGCAGCAGUAGGGAAUCUUCCGCAAUGGGCGAAAGCCUGACGGAGCAACGCCGCGUGAGUGAUGAAGGUCUCCGGAUCGUAAAACUCUGUUAUUAGGGAAGAACAUAUGUGUAAGUAACUGUGCACAUCUUGACGGUACCUAAUCAGAAAGCCACGGCUAACUACGUG